RNAcentral lists this ribosomal RNA (253 nucleotides) under uncultured bacterium. RNAcentral describes it as "partial 16S ribosomal RNA". It matches the Rfam family "Bacterial small subunit ribosomal RNA", at positions 524 to 776 of the family's 1533-position model. The record is from RNAcentral.
UACGUAGGGGGCAAGCGUUGUCCGGAAUUAUUGGGCGUAAAGCGCGCGCAGGCGGUCCUUUAAGUCUGACGUGAAAGCCCACGGCUCAACCGUGGAGGGUCAUUGGAAACUGGGGGACUUGAGUACAGGAGAGGGGAGUGGAAUUCCACGUGUAGCGGUGAAAUGCGUAGAGAUGUGGAGGAACACCAGUGGCGAAGGCGACUAUCUGGACGAACACUGACGCUGAGACACGAAAGCGUGGGGAGCAAACAGG